UGGGGAAUAUUGGACAAUGGGCGAAAGCCUGAUCCAGCAAUACCGCGUGUGUGAAGAAGGCCUUCGGGUUGUAAAGCACUUUAAGUUGGGAAGAAAAAACUUUACCUAAUACGUGAAGUCUUGACGGUACCGACAGAAUAAGCACCGGCUAACUCUGUGCCAGCAGCCGCGGUAAUACAGAGGGUGCUAGCGUUAAUCGGAUUUACUGGGCGUAAAGCGUGCGUGGGUGGUUUGAUAAGUCGGUUGUGAAAGCCCCGGGCUCAACCUGGGAAUUGCGGCCGAUACUGUCAGACUCGAAAACGGUAGAGGGAGGUGGAACUCCAGGUGUAGCGGUGAAAUGCGUAGAUAUCUGGAAGAACAUCGAUGGCGAAGGCAGCCUCCUGGGCCUGUUUUGACACUGAGGCACGAAAGCGUGGGUAGCAAACA
This 426-nucleotide ribosomal RNA is filed under the name uncultured bacterium. RNAcentral's name for it is "partial 16S ribosomal RNA". It matches the Rfam family "Bacterial small subunit ribosomal RNA", at positions 355 to 774 of the family's 1533-position model. The record is from RNAcentral.